AGAGUUUGAUCAUGGCUCAGAACGAACGCUGGCGGCAUGCCUAACACAUGCAAGUCGAACGAGACCUUCGGGUCUAGUGGCGCACGGGUGCGUAACGCGUGGGGAUCUGCCCUUUGCUUCGGAAUAACAGUUAGAAAUGACUGCUAAUACCGGAUGAUGACUUCGGUCCAAAGAUUUAUCGGCAAAGGAUGAACCCGCGUAGGAUUAGCUAGUUGGUGGGUAAAGGCCUACCAAGGCGACGAUCCUUAGCUGGUCUGAGAGGAUGAUCAGCCACACUGGGACUGAGACACGGCCCAGACUCCUACGGGAGGCAGCAGUGGGAAUAUUGGACAAUGGGCGAAAGCCUGAUCCAGCAAUGCCGCGUGAGUGAUGAAGGCCUUAGGGUUGUAAAGCUCUUUUACCCGGGAUGAUAAUGACAGUACCGGGAGAAUAAGCUCCGGCUAACUCCGUG
Molecule: ribosomal RNA, 451 nt
Filed under: uncultured bacterium
Lineage: Bacteria
Description: bacterial SSU rRNA
Rfam family: Bacterial small subunit ribosomal RNA
Source: RNAcentral